CUUGGUCGGAGAGGACCUCCCACCCCAGUGGAAGCUGUGGUGGCCUUCAGGACGAUUUCUCUGUCGCGGGUGCUGAGCACAGGGCCUGCACGUGGUGGGUUUGCUGGCCGUGGAAAAUCCCUUCACCUCUCGGUUUGCUCAAGAGGGCACCAGACAGUAUCUUCCUCAUAGAGGUGCGUGAGUUAAUGAAAGGAAAGGUGCCUGCAACUAGCACCUGGAACAUGGUGGAAGACGAGGAUUCAGACCCAGGAGCGAGGCACGAACGUCCACUCGGGGAACCAUUUUGCCAGACUGGUCUUGGAGCCAGAGCACCAGCCUCAAACCUGCCUCCGCCAUGACCUGGCUGUUCAUCUCAGGACUCAGCCGCCUCCUCUGGAAGAUGGGAGAAUACCUUCUGCUCUGUAGGCAGGUCGGAGGACUGAAUGGCCUGACCCAGGGCCUGCCCCUCUGGUUCCAGCUCUCAUCACUACCCCCCACCCAGCCAUCCCCAUACUGGAAGCUCCAGCUGAGCUGAAUGACCUGCAGCUCAGGCUUUGCUCUUGCCACCUUCUCUUGGCUACCCUGGGGUCCGGACUUUCAGGUCAACUCAACAGACCAUUUCUUGCCAGAUUAAGCAUAGUUUGCCUCUCAAUUCAAAUGGCAGCUGGAAAUAAAAGCCCGCCCUGACCUUAGCAGUAUGGCAUGAAGGUUAAGAAACUUUGACUCCAUCAAAUUUCAGCUCUGUCACUUUUACUGUGUAACCUUGGGCAAAUCUCUUUAUCUCUCUGAGCCUCUCCUUCCAAAUCUGUAAAAUGGAUGUAGUGACAGCACCCAAAGAGUUGUAUGAGGACUGGUGAGAGAAUGCAUAUGGACUAUGGUGAGCUCCAGCAAAUGGUAGCUAUCACUUUUA
This 889-nucleotide long non-coding RNA is filed under the name Equus asinus (donkey). RNAcentral's name for it is "lncRNA (ENSEASG00005026178.1)". The record is from RNAcentral. Lineage: Eukaryota; Metazoa; Chordata; Mammalia; Perissodactyla; Equidae.